UACGAAGGGCCCAAGCGUUAAUCGGAAUCACUGGGCUUAAAGGGUGCGCAGGCGGUUUGCAAGUACCUGGUGAAAUCCCACGGCUCAACCGUGGAAUUGCUGGGUAAACUGCAGGCCUUGAGCCCGGCAGAGGUCGUCGGAACUCUAGGUGGAGCGGUGAAAUGCGUAGAUAUCUAGAGGAACGCCAAAGGUGAAGACAGACGACUGGGCCGGCGCUGACGCUGAGGCACGAAAGCGUGGGGAGCGAACAGG
RNAcentral lists this unclassified non-coding RNA (252 nucleotides) under uncultured Phycisphaeraceae bacterium. RNAcentral's name for it is "contains 16S-23S intergenic spacer region". It matches the Rfam family "Bacterial small subunit ribosomal RNA", at positions 524 to 776 of the family's 1533-position model. Lineage: Bacteria; Pseudomonadati; Planctomycetota; Phycisphaerae; Phycisphaerales; Phycisphaeraceae. The record is from RNAcentral.